GUCGAACGAGCGAGAGAGAGUUUACUUUUUCGAGCGAGUGGCGAACGGGUGAGUAACGCGUGAGGAACCUGCCUCAAAGAGGGGGACAACAGUUGGAAACGACUGCUAAUACCGCAUAAGCCCACGGCUCGACAUCGAGCAGAGGGAAAAGGAGCAAUCCGCUUUGAGAUGGCCUCGCGUCCGAUUAGCUAGUUGGUGAGGUAAUGGCCCACCAAGGCGACGAUCGGUAGCCGGACUGAGAGGUUGAACGGCCACAUUG
Molecule: ribosomal RNA, 259 nt
Filed under: Faecalibacterium prausnitzii
Lineage: Bacteria; Bacillati; Bacillota; Clostridia; Eubacteriales; Oscillospiraceae
Description: partial 16S ribosomal RNA
Rfam family: Bacterial small subunit ribosomal RNA
Source: RNAcentral